This 668-nucleotide long non-coding RNA is filed under the name Pan troglodytes (chimpanzee). RNAcentral's name for it is "long non-coding RNA NONPTRT007465". Lineage: Eukaryota; Metazoa; Chordata; Mammalia; Primates; Hominidae. The record is from RNAcentral.
UUCAGCACAUCGUGAGUGGUGCUCUUGAGUCCCUUCAAGUGAUUACUACUUAGAUCUUCCCGGGGACACCUUCUUGAAAGGACCAGCGUGCAUCCACUUUGCUUAGAUAUAAUCCCAGAUCAGUGGAGGUGUUGCAAAGCAGACUUCACUUGUCUCACUAACACUGGAGCAGUUGAACAUCAGAUACCCAGAGUGACAUCAGGUUAAAAAAAAGCCUGCAAUUUGGAUCUUUUCCUGACUCGGAAGCAAGGAAAAUGGACAAUUGAUAAUCAAAGGCUAAAUCUCUUCUGGGAUCCACUGAAUGCCACUAGAGGGUCUGCUUGAGAGAAUUCCUGAUUGAAUGACAACGGCGCUAAGAACAGUAAGUCAUGGUUGGGAAGCAGUAAGGGAAGAAUGGAGCCCAGAUAUCCUAAAUUAAAAUAUAAAAGGCUAUCGUUAUUAGGCAUGUACAUCUAAAUUUCAAAGUAAAAGGCCAACAUCCCACUACGCCUCCCGAAUCCAGCACAUUCCACCUAACACACGCACACACACACACACACACACACACACACACACACACCCUUCCCUCUGAGGCAAUUAAUGGACCCAAACUGACUUUUUUAUGGAACCAUAAUAUAGAAAGAAAUGCCUGUGCCGAAAAUGUCAAUGCACAAUAAUUUAUCCGAAAU